Non-coding RNA from Paramormyrops kingsleyae, 3556 nucleotides. Lineage: Eukaryota; Metazoa; Chordata; Actinopteri; Osteoglossiformes; Mormyridae. The record is from RefSeq and is a predicted model, not a curated record.
UCCAAUCAUAAAUAAAGUGUAAUGUAUAAGCGCCCAUUAUUAGUAUUCGCCUAAUACAAAAUGGCGGAGGGGAGGAAGAGGCCCCCCCAGCAUGUUGAAACUAUGUAAAUAAAGAGAGUAAAUGCCUUUAACGGAUCGGUUCGCGUUAUCGGCGACCGAGGCGACCGGAGCAGCUAUCGCGGGUCUGCGCUUUUUCCCUCGCCGGGAGCCGGCGGCUCGGCUCGGUUCGACUCGUCCCGGAAUGCAGCAGCCAGGGCCGGUCAGUCCCACCGUCCAGAUGCACAGCCACGGCGCGGCGCAAGUCACAGCAAUGCACACAAAAGAGCCGAGCGGAGCGCCGAGCGCGCAUGCGCCGCACGGCCGCUCCGCUGCCAACUUCGGCACGAGUACCGACCAGCGGCGGCCGCGGUGCCCAGCCUGGACUCGAACCCGCGGCGGGUCAUUUGCGGGCACUGGGGACGUCGAGUCCGAAAGACGCGUCACCGGUGACGCGCAGGUUGCGCUGUGUCCUGUCGGAGUGGCAUGUCUGCCCCCGGUGCAAAGGACAGCUGCCCGAAGUGUAUAUGACACCAGACACCAUUAAACAAGCUGCCGUGAGCCUGUGAUGUUUACUGUGAUAACUUAAUGCAGCGAACAAAUCUCAGUUAAUGCACACUAAUGUCCCUUUGGAUAAUAAAACCAAUGUAGCCUACGUGGUUCACUUUCGUGUUUGUAAUAUAGACUUCAUUCUAAAUUUCUUUGAAAUUUACGUUUUUGUUAAGUCUCACUUGCAGGGCGAUAAUUGCAUCAUAAAGCAAGUUGCAUCGUGUAUUUAUAAAAUAAUGAAAAUCGUAGGCUACGAGUAUUAUGGCCACGGGUACCAGAUCAGUGAACAUGUGGCGAGAGAUGGGAAAGACGCAUGGCGUCUUAUAACGAAGCCGAGCCGUAUCAGUGCGGGGGUGUCGCUGCUUCUUAUUCGGCUUUGUUCAGGUAUCCGUAAGGAAAGCGAGGCUCACGCAGUCCGCACAACUGGGCAAAUGCUGCGCUUCAGCCUUCGGCUGCACCCAUCCGAUCCACUUAAAGUUUCGCAGUUCCAGCGCUGUUUGACUGUUAUUCACGUAAAAUAACACAUUUCAUGUUCUUGUUUCGAUUAGCAUAAACUGUACAUCUACUAUACGUAAUGUAGAUUAUCAAAACAUUUAUGCAUAAGCCUGUGUACUAGAAAUGAACGGUUAUCUGGUUCAAAAACUGCAGUCAAAUUUUGAAGACGUUGGUUUACUUUCAGGCAAAAAAAACUAAGUAAUAAAAACACAGUAUGCAACUGGUCCAGCUGGAUACUUAAUGGCCCGAAUCUAUUUGUAUGACUGAAUGCAUGACUCCAUCGACAAGCAAAAACAGACGUGUUGAACUGCAAACUGUAUAAGAAAGACUGCGUUAGGAAGGGGGGAGGGGACAGGACUGGACCAGCAGUUAUAGAGCAGGGGGAGGUAAUGUGACCUAUCUGUGCCUGAAGACCGACCUUAAGGAAAUCAGAACCUUCCUCUGGUCCCAGGGUCCUGCCCCCUCCCCAUCUUCCGGAAUGGUCUCCCUUCCUGCGUGUCUUUGAGUUACUAGUGAACUGUGCAGUUCUCAUCAGUUCCUUCUUCUAAUUGCUUUGAGAUCCCCCCCCCCUCAAAUAUUACAAACAUUACUGUAUAUUAUUGAAGGACAAUCAGGGGUGCAGCUAAAAAUUCUAGGUCCCCUGAUGAGACGUCACCAUGGGGUGGGCACUCUACUUUCAGUCUGAAGGAAUAUGGACCCCAUGCGUAUGGGAUUCGGGGACCCCCCCGGUAGGCUUUGAGGUCCCUAUAAAGCAUUGGCCCCCCUGUAACUGCCAGGGCAUGGUAUCCAUGACCUCCCGAUGCCCGUGGGUGCAGCAACACUGUAACAGAAAAACAGAGAGGAAGCAGGGCAAGGGAAGCCUGUGUGCAUUUCAUAAUUUUUUGUAAUAAAUGUGUUUCCUUUGACACACUGGACAGAAAGUUUGACUUGCGUUGGGACAAACUGAGGAUGAGGUUUUCCUUCAAAGGAAGAAGUCCUGUAUUACAGUUUAUGUCUUAUAUUGAUCCCGGUAAUGGUGUUACUGGGUUGGGCCGAUCGAAGCCUGGGUGGCACACUAGGCAAGCUUAACCCCCCCGAAACCCCCCCCCCCGAAACCAAGCUAAUGCAUAAGCGAUGGAAGUAAAGAAAAAAAGGAUUGUUCAUUGUCUAAUCUUACAUAGUAGCGCAAUAAAUAAUAUUAUAAUAAGUGACAUUAUUAUAUAUAUUAACUGGUGCUUUGAAGUCAUAAUGUGCCCUUAUGUCUUUAAUUGCAUUAAUUUUGAUGCCCCCUUGGGAGAAUAGUAUGAGCGAAGAUUUUUAAUAGAAUUUAAUUUCUAUGCUGAAUAUGCAGAGUAUAAAACCAUUUCUUGAUGGUAUUACAGCAUGACUGUAUAUCCGAUUAACUGCCAAUGUGUGUGAUUAAUCGCAAUUAAAAGAUCCUUUUUUACAUGUCUUUUUGGUCACACCAUGGCAGAUCAUACCUGUUCAGGGCCUAAGGCUAAGCUUUACCUGGGAGCCCCCCCCCACAGAAAACUGAUGAUCAUUUCACUUCCUCUACAACGCAGGAAAAUCAGGGCCCCAGGCACGUGCCUGUUCUGCCUACAGCUAGAACCGGUCCAGCGCCAUGGUAACCGAACAGUAUCCUUGAUACUUGUCCCCUCAUGUAGCUGUUCUAGACUGCAGAGGGCACCAGUACUUCUAGGGGCACGAGCAAGCCAAUUUCACUGGUGCAUACCAGUGGUGUAGUGCUGUCUUGGCAGGUGGGUAUCCUGUUCGACCGUAUAAUUGUGUAAUCGCACUUCUCUGACUGAUACGCAUUUCUGACCAUUUUUUUACAUGUGGGUAUACUCUGUAUACCUGCAUAUACCCACCACAAAACCUCUGGUAUGCUCUACACACAAGUGAAAUUGCCUGCUUAUGUCGCCUAUUUACGACUGACCAGCCAUGCAAUGACAACCAACAUCUGAAAGACUAUCCACUGCAUCACACUCAUUCCAUUCGGGCUACUGUACACUGUUACUUGCAUUUUUCUAUUCUUGUGUUAAACCUACCUUAGGAUAUAUAUUUGUUUAAAGGCCAAAAGAUCUCAUACUAUAAUCCUGCUGUUUAGACAAAGUGGGGCACCAUGCGCGUAAAACAGAAUCUGACUACCCAGGAAGAACACACAAAGCAGUUAAAAUCAGUGACGGUGAUUUCCUGGAAAUCGUGCAAUCGGCAUAGUAGGGCGACACGUUCCUCUCUCAUCGUAUUUACUAAGCCAAUGAAGUCUGUUUAGCGGAUGAAAAACGACGCGUGUUUCACUCACAUAUGCAACAAAUUAAAAUGGCAUUCAAAGGCAAAGUGGCCGACACAAAGACCGUCGUUCUCCAUUUGAUUCUUUGCCUGGUCAUAUUCUACACGCUGUACUACAUGAUUGGCAGCAUUUGUUUUGGUGCUUUCAGGCUUGAGAAUUUUGAUGGACUCAUACCUUUUGAUUUCAAGGUUAAUCCAACUGAGU